GCUCUGGCCAUUGCAUUGCAUGUGACAAUAGAACGGCUAGAACAGACCAUCCAGCCUAUGCACAUGGUAUGUGUUGGCCAUGAUUAAAGAGGUAAUCUUGUUCCGGAAGAGGUAAUCUUGUUCCGGUAUAUUGUUUGCUUUUAAGAAAGCUGUUUCUUAACUCUUAAUUUUCACUCUAUUAAGAAAGAACUUGCUUCCCCCAGCUCUUAAUAGGAUUCAGGUUCCGUGGGCACAUGGAGGCUUUUAGAUCUUGAGAGCCACAAUAACAGUAUUUGCCACCCUUCUGGAACUCAAUGAGGGCAAGAAAGUUGAUUGAAGAUAGGUCUUAAAUAGGUGUUG
Molecule: unclassified non-coding RNA, 339 nt
Filed under: Hevea brasiliensis (rubber tree)
Lineage: Eukaryota; Viridiplantae; Streptophyta; Magnoliopsida; Malpighiales; Euphorbiaceae
Source: RNAcentral